UACGGGGGGGGCAAGCGUUGUUCGGAAUUACUGGGCGUAAAGGGUUUGUAGGUGGCUUGCUAAGUCAGACGUGAAAUCCCCCGGCUUAACCAGGGAACUGCGUCUGAUACUGGAUGGCUUGAGUUUGGGAGAGGGAUGCGGAAUUCCAGGUGUAGCGGUGAAAUGCGUAGAUAUCUGGAGGAACACCGGUGGCGAAGGCGACAUCCUGGACCAACACUGACGCUGAGUGAGCGAAAGCCAGGGGAGCAAACGGG
Molecule: ribosomal RNA, 254 nt
Filed under: uncultured bacterium
Lineage: Bacteria
Description: partial 16S ribosomal RNA
Rfam family: Bacterial small subunit ribosomal RNA
Source: RNAcentral